CAGCAGCCGCGGUAAUACGGAGGGGGCUAGCGUUGUUCGGAAUUACUGGGCGUAAAGGGCGCGUAGGCGGUUCGGUAAGUUAGGCGUGAAAGGCCUGGGCUCAACCCGGGAACUGCGCUUAAGACUGUCGGGCUGUGAGUCCGGGAGAGGAUGGCGGAAUUCCCAGUGUAGAGGUGAAAUUCGUAGAUAUUGGGAAGAACACCAGUGGCGAAGGCGGCCAUCUGGCCCGGUACUGACGCUGAGGCGCGAAAGCGUGGGGAGCAAACAGGAUUAGAUACCCUGGUAGUCCACGCCGUAAACGAUGAGUGCUAGACGUUGGCGAGCAUGCUCGUCAGUGUCGCAGCUAACGCGAGAAGCACUCCGCCUGGGGAGUACGGCCGCAAGGUUAAAACUCAAAGGAAUUGACGG
Molecule: ribosomal RNA, 408 nt
Filed under: uncultured bacterium
Lineage: Bacteria
Description: bacterial SSU rRNA
Rfam family: Bacterial small subunit ribosomal RNA
Source: RNAcentral